AAGUCGUAACAAGGUUUCCGUAGGUGAACCUGCGGAAGGAUCAUUAACACGUAUCCAAACGUUAAAACCCCCCCCGUGAACCUUCAUCCUGCUCUUGUAACCCGCGUAGUUCGCAAUCUCUGAUAAAUCAUAGCCCGGAAAGUUGUAGUGAUUCAGAGACCUCUGGCUACGUGCGAACAUUGGAACAGUUACAAUCGAGCGGUAGUUCUAUAGGCAAUGUUUCCCCAAGCAGUCAGUGUCGGAAAGUGUCAUUGAUUGUGGCAGGAGCUUUGCCAAAGGGUCCCCAUGCCCCCUAAUAACCCCACAGUUUAAUGUGAAGCUCAAUGUAAUACAUUGGGUAAAAAAACCGAACAACUGUUAACAAUGGAUACCUUGGUUCUCGC
This 383-nucleotide unclassified non-coding RNA is filed under the name fungal sp. RNAcentral's name for it is "partial internal transcribed spacer region". The stretch from base 1 to 46 matches the Rfam family "Eukaryotic small subunit ribosomal RNA", at positions 1786 to 1831 of the family's 1831-position model. Lineage: Eukaryota; Fungi. The record is from RNAcentral.